RNAcentral lists this long non-coding RNA (606 nucleotides) under Ananas comosus (pineapple). RNAcentral describes it as "long non-coding RNA (ACOM_LNC029381)". Lineage: Eukaryota; Viridiplantae; Streptophyta; Magnoliopsida; Poales; Bromeliaceae. The record is from RNAcentral.
UCCUUUUCUUGAUCGAGCUCCUUCUUCUCCUUCCUUUUCUUCCUUCUCUUUUCUUCUUCUUCUUCUUUUUCUUCUUCUCUUCUAGAGAGAGAGAGAGCAAGAGAGUGUGAGUGAGGCAUAGAGAGAAAUGAGAGAGUGAGAGGGAGAGAGGGGCCCUUAAGCCCUCUAUUGUAACAAUAUCUCAAUAAGUCCCUCAGCUUUUCACUCUGUGCACUGCCCCUCACUGGGCAUUCUGCGCCCAGAGGGACCGGUCUCCCCGACUUGGGACCGGUCCCCGAGAGCUUCAGCUCCGGUCAUGCGUUCGGGUACCGGUCUCUCCCAGAGAGACCGGUCCUCGGGAGACCGGUCCUUGCCUGAGAGACCGGUCCCCGAGAGCAAUAUUUUCAGAACUUAGCCAAAUUUCUGGCUUUCUCGCUGGGUUCACGUUCGGGGACCGGUCCCUCCCUACUAGGGACCGGUCGCCUCAAGCAACCCCGCAACACCAGCUGAUGGGAUCGGUCCCUCCCUGCCAGAGACCGGUCAUCGAGAGAAGCUUUGCUCCAGUGCAGGUUUCGCACUAUUUGCUCUCGCGGACUCGCUUCCAAUGCACCUUUGGUGAUUUUAACA